GAUUCCCAGAUAACAAUCUUCUCCCCAAGGUCGACGACGAAAGAGACAGCCAACAAUGGUUCACAACGCUUACGAUUCCUUUCAGCUUCUCACCAACUGCCCCGCUCGGAUCGACGCCGUCGAAUCCCACAACUCCAAGCUCUUCGCCGGAUGCUACGACGGCUCCCUCCGCAUCUACUCACCCCAAUCUCCCUCCUCCGAGCUCCGCCAAGACUCUUACCUCCUCGAAACAACCGUCACCGGAUUCUCCAAGAAACCCAUCGUGGCCAUGAAGGUCUUGGCCUCCAGAGAGCUGCUCCUCUCUCUCUCGGAGUCGAUCGCGUUCCACAAGAUUCCUAAUCUGGAGACCGUCGCCGUGAUCACCAAAGCGAAAGGCGCCAAUGCUUACUCGUGGGACGAUCGACGCGGCUUCCUCUGCUUCUCUAGGCAGAAGAGGGUCUGCGUCUUCAAGCACGACGGUAAAAAGAUCGGAGCUUUUCUACUCAUUUGUGAUUAAAAAAAGUUUGGAUUUUUAUUUUUUUAUUAAAAAAGAAAGUUUGGAUUUUUAUUGUUACAGGAGGAGGAGGGUUUGUGGAGGUGAGGGACUAUGGAGUUCCUGAUACUGUAAAGUCCAUUUCUUGGUGUGGUGAAAACAUUUGCUUGGGGAUUAGGAAAGAGUAUGUGAUUCUCAACACUGCUAAUGGGACUCUCUCUGAGGUGUUUCCUUCCGGUAGAGUUGCUCCUCCUCUCGUCACUUCUCUACCUUCUGGUGAACUUCUCCUUGGAUUCUCAGCAAGAUAACAAGGUGCAACUAGCUUUUUAGUAUUAACAUAAUUUACUUAAGCAUUAGUAAUAAUAAUUGGGGCCCAUAAUAAUUAUUAAAACACCUACAAACAUUCAGGUUAGCAAAUUGAAAUCUGCGUUAGGACCACUCUCAGGACAUAGUUUAGUUUUCUGCUCUGAUGCUUCCUUGAGGAGAUACUUGGAUGCUCGUAGCUGGAAUGUCGAAAACGCCAAGCAAAUGAUUGAGGAGACACUUAAAUGGAGAUCAACAUACAAGCCUCAUGAGAUCCCUUGGGUAACUUCAACAUCUAAAUAUCAAAGAUACGUUCAUGUUUGUUUAUUUUCUUCUCUGGUUAUCUCCAGCAUGAAGUAGCACAUGAAGGUGAGACUGGAAAAGUUUCAAGAGCUAGUUUUCAUGAUCGUCACGGUAGGACUGUGCUAAUAAUGAGACCAGGGUUACAGGUAAUUUAAUCGGAUUUUCUGUUUGUUUGUUUUUAAUCUCUUUCAAGAACUCAUAUGUAGUAGAUAUGUCUCUCAUAUAAUUUUAUAAACAGAACACAACAUCAGCAGAAGGUAAUAUCAGGCACUUGGUGUAUCUUCUUGAAAACGCAAUCAUUAAUCUUCCCAAAGGACAAGAACAAAUGUCUUGGCUCAUAGAUUUUACUGGUUGGUCCAUGGCUAAUAAUGCUCCCAUGAAAACAACACGAGACAUUAUCUACAUUCUACAGAAUCAUUACCCUGAGAGACUCGGUAUGUCAUUUCUCUACAAUCCUCCAAGACUCUUCCAAGCAGGCUACAAGGUACAAAAAGUCAUCAUUACAUAAUAAUAUUGUCUUUUUAAUAAAGUUUCAAAAAGCCCUUUAAUGAGUCAUUCAUUUACUAGGCUGUUAAGUACUUCUUGGACCCAAGAACAGCUCAAAAGGUGAACUUCGUGUACCCAAAUGACAAAGCAAGUGAUGAACUGAUGAGAUCACACUUUGAUAUGGAGAAUCUCCCCAAGGAGUUUGGUGGAGAAGCAACACUAGAGUAUGACCAUGAGGAAUUCUCAAGACAAAUGUUUGAAGACGAUCUCAAAACCGCAAAGUUCUGGGGGCUAGAAGAGAAACAGUAUCUGAAACCAAACGGUUUCUCUCCAGCCGAUGUUGUUCCUGAACCGGCCACUUCUCUUGCAUCAGUAGCUAACUGAGAGUUGAAACUACAUAUAAACACAUAAAGAAACAAGAGAAGAUUAUAAACGCUUUAUUCUCAUUGAUGAAGAACCAAUAAAAAAACGUGCAGAUUACUAAGAAAAUUAGUGAGCCGCCAGACUUUUUCAAUGUCCUAGCUAAGCUGACAGACACGUUCCUUGUUAUUGAAGUUAAUGUAUGUUUUAGAAUGUUGUUACCAUGUCUAAUUGUUUGGUGUUUAUUGCUUGAAAAUAUGAGAAUCAUCCUUUUGGUUCUAUUUUUUCUUAAUUUAUUUAGUUAUGAAAUAUUUGCUCAAUUUAUAUCUGUCUGUUACAACCUAAGCAAGUUUAUUUAGCUUAAGAUGACAUAAUGAAAUGUUAAGAGUAAGUAUUUGUUACAAAAUAAGUAUCUAUGAUUUUAUUGUAAUUUAUAUCAUUAAUUUAUCUUUACAUAAAUAAUUUUUUUUAAAAAAUAUAUAAGAAAAUAUUAAUAGUUAAAUAAGGAUAAAACUGAAUAUUUAGCUAUAUUUUUAGUUUACAUGAAAAAAAUAAAACGACAUCUAAUAUGAAAUUAAUGACCAAAGGCAACCGGUUGGAACUGUUCUGGAACCAAUUUUCCUUGGUUAGAGCAUUGGUCUUUGACUCAAAGGUCGCGGGUUCGAAAGUCAACAUUUCAUUUUGGUUAUAAUUGGAUUUAAACAAUCUUCAUGGAUCCAUGGUGAUUCCCAGAUAACAAUCUUCUCCCCAAGGUCGACGACGAAAGAGACAGCCAACAAUGGUUCACAACGCUUACGAUUCCUUUCAGCUUCUCACCAACUGCCCCGCUCGGAUCGACGCCGUCGAAUCCCACAACUCCAAGCUCUUCGCCGGAUGCUACGACGGCUCCCUCCGCAUCUACUCACCCCAAUCUCCCUCCUCCGAGCUCCGCCAAGACUCUUACCUCCUCGAAACAACCGUCACCGGAUUCUCCAAGAAACCCAUCGUGGCCAUGAAGGUCUUGGCCUCCAGAGAGCUGCUCCUCUCUCUCUCGGAGUCGAUCGCGUUCCACAAGAUUCCUAAU
RNAcentral lists this long non-coding RNA (2987 nucleotides) under Brassica napus (rape). RNAcentral's name for it is "long non-coding RNA (BNAP_LNC004588)". Lineage: Eukaryota; Viridiplantae; Streptophyta; Magnoliopsida; Brassicales; Brassicaceae. The record is from RNAcentral.